RNAcentral lists this long non-coding RNA (29019 nucleotides) under Triticum aestivum (bread wheat). RNAcentral's name for it is "long non-coding RNA (TAES_LNC015050)". Lineage: Eukaryota; Viridiplantae; Streptophyta; Magnoliopsida; Poales; Poaceae. The record is from RNAcentral.
GAAGACACAGACAGAGCGAGUCAGAGUGCGGGAGAGAGUGUCGAGAGGGCGGCGAGCUCUUCCCCAUUUCCAUGGCGACUCUGGCGGCCAUGCGCACUCUCGGUUCAGGUUUCUGCUCCGUCGUUUCCGCGGUCCUGUGUAUAGGUUGGCCUUCGUCUCUCCCGCGCCCCCUCCCCUGUUUUCUACCUUUCUUGCAGAGAUUUUAGGUGUUAGUUUGAGUUCUCCCCCCGGCCCCGUUCCAUGGCNNNNNNNNNNNNNNNNNNNNNNNNNNNNNNNNNNNNNNNNNNNNNNNNNNNNNNNNNNNNNNNNNNNNNNNNNNNNNNNNNNNNNNNNNNNNNNNNNNNNNNNNNNNNNNNNNNNNNNNNNNNNNNNNNNNNNNNNNNNNNNNNNNNNNNNNNNNNNNNNNNNNNNNNNNNNNNNNNNNNNNNNNNNNNNNNNNNNNNNNNNNNNNNNNNNNNNNNNNNNNNNNNNNNNNNNNNNNNNNNNNNNNNNNNNNNNNNNNNNNNNNNNNNNNNNNNNNNNNNNNNNNNNNNNNNNNNNNNNNNNNNNNNNGGUAUUUGUGUGAUUACAGAUAUCGAUUUUAUUUUCUCCCCAGAUUGGAGGUAGUAUGGUUGAAUGCUUAGGUUGUUCCUGUUGGUCAGAGCUGGGUGUGUAGGCGUUGGUCGAAGUUGGUUUGUAGUAGUUAUUUUUCAGAGUUGGGCAUUUUAGGGUGGGUCGGGAUGGAGAUUUGGAGCUUCUAGGGGAUAUCCAGCUCGUUUUCAGCUCUGGCGACGUGAUUUUUUGGUGUGGUUGCUCUGGUUGUAUGCUAAAUUCCAAAUCGGGUUUUUCUUAGUUCAAGAUGUUCUGUAGGGGGUAUGGGUUAGUUUUUCUUCGGAAUCUGUUAUUUGCAGUGUAAUUUUUCCUUUUCGAAUUGUACAUGGAGGUUUGGUAUGGAUGUGCAUGCUUCUGUUAAACUUAGUCUCUUUGUUUAGUAAGGUGCCACUGUGGUUAUGUACCAUUUUUGAAUGUGGUUACUGGUUAGCCUAGUGUUAGUUUUUUUCCGUCAGCACUAUUACUAUGAACUUUGUAUACUGUAUUGUUUUUGUUUUCCUAGGGAUGUGUGUAACUCUUACAGAUUUUUGUAUUUCUUGCAGGAAUUAUUGUGUCCUUGUUGUAGUUAUUUUGUACUGUUGUUUAAUGUUAUUUUUCAGAUUAUAUCAAUUUUUCUCCCAGAUUUUAGUUUACUCUAGCAUUUUUAGCAUUGUCAGAUUUUUGUUUUCCAUUGGGUAGUGAUUUCACCUUGGAUAUGUAUGCGAUUUACAUGGUUAACUUUCCUGAAACUUAGAUUUGAGAAGGCAUGUAAAUCUGAAUUUUUAAAAUAAUGUAACUGUAACAGUGUAAUUAUAGAUUUUUAGGACUGUAAUUAUAGUUCUUUUAGAACAGUAACAUACGAACAAAAUAAUAUAAACUCCAGUCCGCACCCAAUUAUAUGAGUAGUGAUGUAAAUCUGUAGUGAUUGAUUUUACACUUAGGCUUGUAUAAAUUUAGUUUCCUUUCUCUGUAAAUUUGCAUCACUAGUUUUGUAAAGAUUAAUUCAGUUUCUGGAAUUUAGAUUAAAUUUCAAUUAAGUGGUUUGUAGUUUACACUCGCCUGUAUAUAUUUACUAUUGUAUUUUUUCUGUAUUUUUGCAACAUUAGUUACGUAAAAUUUGCAGAUUAGUUCAGUUCUUAAGUGGUUUUACACUUAGGCUUGUAUAACCUUACAAAUUUUUCUGUAAUUUUGCAACAUUAGUUCUAUAAAACUUAGUUCAGUAGUUCUGGAAUCAAGAUAAAAUACGUAUCUAGCAGUUUGUAUUUCUACAGUCAUGCUUCCAUAGAUUUUACAGUUAUAUUUUCUCUGUAAAUUUCCUUCAGUAGUUCUGCAAACCUGCCAAGAUAGUUCACUUGUUAAUUGGUUUUACUCUUAGGCUUGUAUAAACUUACAACUUUUUUCCUGUAAUUUUGGAACAUUAGUUUUGUAAAACUUUAGUUCAGUUUAUGGAAACAGAUUAAAUACGUACUUUACCAGAUUGUAAUUUACAGUCAUGCUUCUACAGAUUUUACAAUUGCAUUCUUUCCGUAAAUUUGCUUCAGUACUUCCAUAAAACUUCCAGAAUAGUUCACUUCUGGAAUGAAGAGUUAAUAUGUAUUAAGUGGUUUUGUAAUUUACCUUUUCGCUUGUAUAGAUUUCCAGCUGUAUUUGUUUUUAUAAUUUUUAUCAGUAGUUUUGGAAUCAAGACUAAACAUGAACAAAGCGGGUUGUAAUUGUUUUUUGGUCUUUUUUUAUAGAUGUUACAGUUGCAUUUUUCUGUAAUUUACACUUGGACUGAAUUAAGUUGUAUCGGUUUGCAUAUAUUUACUGUUAGGUUGGUAUAGAUUUACAGUUUUAUUUUCUAUCUAAUUUUGCAUGAGCUGUAUAGCUGAAGGAUACUAUUUUCCCUUUCCAUUUUAGCAUUUGUAUAUAUGAAUGAUUUCUAUAUAAUACUUAAGUGGUUUUCCGAAUUAUACAUUAUUUACAUUUAUAUAUUACUGAGUUAUAGUUGCAUCAUUUUCCUUCAGUUCUGAUUUUGUUUUUGAUUUUUGUUUUUGAUUUUUGUAGAAACAAAAGAGGUCUAAUGGUUUUCCAGUGUCAUUAACCUUCACAAGAUAUUCUGGGAAGUUUUUUUGCUUCAGUUGUUGAUGCUUUGAGACCUAGGCAGAUUUCCAAGGUAAUGUUUGUGUUUGUGGUAUUUUCCUUUUCUUUUUCUAAUUUAUUUUCUUUUUUAUUUCAGUUCUGUAUCUUAUUCAAUAUCAUGUUGUCAAAGAGGCAGAUUUCCAAUGGAUUUUUUUUUUUUGCAUUCAGCAAAUCUGGAUCUGCUUGUCCUUGUUCUGCCCCCUGUAAAUUAGAUCACCAGUUUACUGUGUUAGUUAGUAAUUGGGUUCAUGUUUCUGUCGAGUCAAGCAGUAGGUAUCUUACAGUUUCUUGUCUGUUUGCACUAUUUUUUCAGGUCCCAAGUUGUAAAGCAUGAUCCGGUGUAAGUGCUUCCGCUGGAUUUGUAAGUCUUUUUGAUGCUAGUUGUUCCUGUGUAAAAGUCAAAUAAGCAGCUAAACAUGAUAUCUGCAUUUCUAGUAAGUAGUAACAGAACAUUGUAGGUUUAUCAAUUCUAGGUUUUCUUCUUACGGCAAACCAGUUGUCUGACAAUAGUAACUGAGUGAAUGUAUACAUUCCCUGCAGUUUAUAGCAAGUGUUAGAUGUAUAUCGACAAAACAUUAAAUAUUCUUUUGCUUCAGAAUAUAUGGAAAUUGUCUGCUCCGCAUUUACAUUAAGAAAUGAAAUGUCAUUUUCCCCAAAGAGUAUGUGAAGGAUUGUUGUCCCUGCUCAAUAUAAAAACAUUUCCCUACAUUGGCAAAAAAUGAUGGAGAGCAUGCAGUGCAGUUUUUUUUGAAGAUUCAUAUGUUUCAACUGCAGUUUUAUUUGUUUUUGAUCUGUAGUAUUCAUGUAUUUGUCUGUACAUCCCCAUACUAUUUUUCCAUAGACUUUAUGUAUGUUGGGUAGUACUAGCCUGCUCCUUAGGCGGUUUUCCUUUUAUACACUGACCUUGAAGGGUUUAUACUGUGCAUGCGUCACUGUAAAUACCUUGAUGCGUCACUGUAAAUACCUUGAUGCAUGUAUCUAUGUCGGGCAAUACUGUUUUUCUAGUUUGUUGCUUAGGUUGUUAUUCCUUUUCUACAGAGAGCUUAUAGGCUUUUUGUACUGUGCAGGUGUGUUUGUAUGAUUGGUAAUACCGAAUUUAAAGGUUGGUUCCUAGGUUAGUAUUGUUGCUUUUCCUUUUUACAGUGAUCUUAAAGGCAAUUUACUGUGUAUGCGCAACUGUUGGUAGUAUGAUUGAUGUAUGUAUGCUGGGAAAAAUUAUUUGUGUAGCCUAAUUCUCAGGUUGGAUUGUAGAUGUGUUUUACAGUUGAAACCUUAGUUUUUUAUGCAUGUAUGUAUGUUAGGGAAGACCAUUUUUCCAACCUACUUCUUACUUGGGAUUGUAGAUGGGCUUUUCAUGCAUGCAUGUGUUGUGUAAUACCAAAUUUUUACGCUGGUUCUUAGCUUAGUAUUUCUUUUGCUUUUUACAGUGAGAUUUAAGGCAAUUUACUGUAUACAUGCGACUGUAAGUUCGUAUGAUGCAUGUAUGUAUAUUGGGGAAAAACAUUUUUACCAGCCUACUUCUAAGGUUGGAUACUUGGAUUGUAGAUGUGCUCUUACAGUUGGUAUGUAGGCGAGUUACAAUUUUUAUAUUCCAGUAAAUCAUGUGUUUUUUACAGUUAAAACCUGAGCUUCUGAUGCCUAUUUUUGUAAUUUUCCUGUUGUUCACUGAUGCUACAGUUUGCUGCUUCUGACAUGUUAACUACUUCACGAGUUAUUUACUUCUCUCUACUUUUUCUGUGUAAAUGCCAACAAAUGAUGAAUUUACAGUAGCAAAAGAGUGGAGUUAUAGUGUGUUGUUUUUGUAAUCUGUUCAAUUUCUACUUGGAAGUCACUAUAUAUCUAGUUUGCUGUGGUGUGCAGUAGUCACUGAAUUUUUACAGUCCCUAAAUCUCUGAAUUCCUGUUUUCCUAUGUCAGAUCUUUCUUUAUGAUGGAGCAUUUGUGUUGUUCUUGGUGAUAGAAGUGUUCCAGGUGUGAAGAGAAUAACAAGGGAUCGAUCAGAUGUGAAUGGGAUGAAGUGAUUCUGUGAGCAACUACCAGAUUUGCCCCAUGUUCAGGUGCAAAGGGGCCUCAGAUGCAACAGUCAGGUUUAGUGCAUUUAUUACACUGUUACGUUUUUUACUGAAACUAUUUUGGUUUUCAGUCCUUUUUUGUCUCGUGAUAUAAAUUCACAUACAUUCAUUUUUUCUGUUGUUUCUUUUGUCGUACAUACAUAUAUACAUACACGUGUCAUGUUGUCACUGGAUGAAAAAAUUGAUUGAAGUCCAAUUUGUUUCGAGUCGACUGUAAUAUACACUCCCUAAAUAAAAGUAGUAUUCUAAUAAAAUAGCUAGCAUGUAGGCGGACAGGUUGAUGACUAGUUUAUAAGUGAUGAUAUUUGUGAGUUCAGAUAGCCUUCAAAAUUUAUCAUUUAAUUGGUGUACUUGUUUCUUUUUUUAUUAAUAGUUUUUUUUUGUUUUCUCAAUUUAUUCACUAAGUGAGUUAGUAUUGCCGUACGAUAUCAAAUGCACUAUAAGAUGCAAGAAAUUAAUUAAUUAUCAUAUCAUUCUAGAUUUUAUGAUCCUUGAGCUAUUACACGCUCCAAACGAGAACCAUAAAAUUUGCUGAAGCAAAUAAAAUAGAGAUCAAAUGAACUAUAAGAUGCAGGAAAGAAAUUAUUUAUAAUAUUAUAUGACCUUUGAGCUAUUACACGUCCAAACGAGAACCAUAAAAUUUGCUGAAGCAAAUAAAGGUAGCAUACACAAUACAAAUAGUUAGAAUUAUUACAUCGAAGUGACAUCAGAGCAUUAUGUUGUUAUAGCCGCAAGCAGUCUUGGCAUCGGAGGCAUAUCAAGCUCCAUUAGACCCUUAAGAACUCUGACCACUUCACCCAUUGUUGGCCGCUCCAGCUCAUUAUCCUGGAUACACCAACAUGCUACAUUGCAAACUCUUUCAACCUCAUCCAAGUUAAAGUCACCAUGUAAUUCUGGAUCUACCAAGCUCUGCACAUCUCCCUCAUGAAGCUUGUUGAUGGCUUGCACAGGGAAAAAAGUGACAUGGUCGUUGCUGCUAGUGUGCACAACAGACGCAUUCCUUCUUCCCGAUAUGAUUUCUAUCAGUACCAUGCCAAAGCUGUAAACAUCGACUUUUGAUGUAAUAGCAACCCCGCUAAGCCACUCUGGGGCAAGAUACCCUGUAGUUCCCCUGAAUGUAGUUAGAACCCGGCUAAAAUCCCUUCCUAUGACCGAUGCCAACCCAAAGUCUGCAAUUUUAGGGACAAACGAUUCAUCGAGAAGUACAUUUUCUGGCUUGAUAUCACAGUGUAUGAUGCAUUCGCGGCAACUCUGAUGCAGGUAGGACAAUCCUCUAGCAACUCCGAUGGCUAUCUGAUAUCUGGUGCUCCAGUUGAGGACUGUACCAUUGCUUUGGAACAGAUGGGAAUCAAGAGAACCAUUGCACAUGUGUUCAUAUACAAGCAGCCUCUUAUCACCAUGACAACAGAAACCAACCAAUUUGACCAGGUUGAUGUGCUGGAUCAGUCCAAGUGCACUUACCUCUGCCCUGAAUUGCUUCUCUCCCUGACGCGCACCUUCAAGCCUUUUCACUGCUACACUAGUCAGGUCACUUAGAACUCCCUUAAAUACAGUCCCAAAACCUCCUGCUCCUAGCUUCACUGAGAAAUUCUUUGUAGCACGGCCCAAAUCGGCGUAUCUAAAGGCAACAACUCCAACAUUACCUUGAUUGGUGGCCUGUGAUGACAUACCACACCAGUUGAAUCUGUUCCUUAAGAUCACCAGUAGCAGCAUGAGCAUCAGCAACCCAAAACUGAUAACGCUUGCAGCAAUAACAGCUCCAGCUGCUGGUUUUCUUUUACUAUCUCUUGUUGAACUUGGAACAUCUCCCGCAGCAAGGCGAAUGUACAGAGUAUAUUCAGAGCUGAUCUCGAUGCCAUCAUCCUUGUUUACACUGAACAACUCCCCUUGCCAAACAGAGCAUUUGCUGUCAUGGUAGGAGUAAGCAGUACAGGAGCAGUUGGUGAGGCAGGCCCAUUCGCAUUCGCUCCGAUUUGCAGGAGCAUGCUGUAAACUCUGGGGACCAUAGGGUAAUGUCACACGAGCUAUGGGUUGGAACACGUCUGUGGAACUCCUGUUGCCAUUGCAAUCCAGCGGAGUGUUUUUGGAGCACCCUCCUGUCCGGUCACCGAGCUCCCAAUCCUGAGGCGACGUUCUGGAGAAGCUCUCCAUGCACUCGCAUGGCGGGUGCGAGCUGCCGGUGCAGACGGUGAAUGGUCCGCAGGCGGCGUAUGGGGUGCAGGGAUCGGCUGGGUUGACGUAGAUGCUAUGCCAUGCCUGGUUGUCUUGCGACCACACGUUCAGCCUGGCCUGACCAAACACGUCCAUGAAGAGGAACGAAGAGAUCUCAUCUGAUGAGGUGUACAUGUAGUACUCCUCCUCCCUGUUGUUGACGUAUUCUGGGACAACCAUGCUGGUCUGUGGGCUCAUUUGCAGCAGCUUCGUGAUUGCUGGGAUCUGCAUCGACGAGUGGUCGUCAGGCGACCACCACCAGUACACUUCGGAAGGGUAGCCUCGACGCCUGGCGGUCACCAUCCUUGUGCCAUUGGUUACCAGUCCCACGCUGAAGGAGCCGAGGCCCGGAUCGAUCCGGCUCUUCCACGAGAUGCCGAGACGGUUCAGGCCGGUGACCUUGUUCCAGCCGAUCUUGGCGCCUGGGAGCAGGACGUCGGUUGGGUCGUCGAAGCUCUGCCACAGCACCUCACUUGACAGGCUUUCUAUGACGAGGUUUCCACUGCCCAAGAGGAUGGCCCUCGUGUUGCUGGUGUUGGUUCUAGCAUUGGAGAUGUUGGUGUUGGUUCUAGCAUUGGUGAUGUUGGUGGACCAGACAACGGAUUGGGUGGCGUUGUUUAAGACGACAAGGUUGCCAUCUUCUGAGACUUGAAGCUGUGUUGCUCUCAGAUCGGGUCCGGCGAUUGGCGUCUCCCGGUUUGCGACCCAGACGGGAGUGAUGACAUGGAUCUUGUUGAACCAUAUGGCAAGGUACCAAUGUGGAGAGGUGGAUGACUUGCUGCUGUUGCCGGCACCGGGCUGGAAGAAGCCAAGCGCGAACUUGCCGUUGCUGGAGACGAGCUUGUCGCCGACGGCAAAUGGCUGGCCUGGCGCGAGAGUAUCGUGUUUUGUGGCUAUGCUAGGAGGAAUAGUGUGCAUGGAGAGGAGGAGGAGGCCGAGGAACAUGUGGAGGGUAGCCAUGGCUGCUUUGCAUGUAUGUCUGCUUGCCCUUCCUCGGCUCUGCCAUUUAACGAAGGAGGCUUAGGAGAGUAGAGGAGAUAGGGAGAGCGGACGUCCUGGACGCAGCGGCAUCUGGACGCCAAUGGUUGGCCUGAUCGAGGUGAUGCGCGCAUUAAAAAUUGGUGGGAACGACAAAGACAGCAUACAUCAUUAUAUAUAGGUGAAUACCGUGGCCACAUGGCUGACACAAGGACCUUGUUUCAUCUACAGCGCGGUGGGGGUGUGCCUUGCUGCCUUCAACGGCCAAUUUUGAUGUUUUGACCUUUUUGUGAAACUUAAGCCGAAUUUAACCCUGGUCUCAAAUUUUUUUUUGGGAUCUGAUCUUUUUCUUAUCGUCGAGGUUGAUGGCGGUAGGGUAUAACUGUCUAAAGCCAUAGACCUUGGCGGUAGGAUUCGACCGAGCCGUGACGUCCGUUUGAUAUGAAAAAUACCCUAUCCUCAGGGUUCUUGACGAUAGACUGUGCAACACUACCGUCAAAAAGCCAUGCAUAGCGUCUGGCACGCAUGCCACAAGUGCGAUUUGAUAUAUUGGGUUUCAACGUACUUACUUGAACUUCUGAAGUCAACUCAGCUAGAGUCGAUGGUACUACUUCUGUCGUACAUGCAUUAUUGUAGAAGUAAAAUUACUAGGCUCCAAAGCUCCGACCAUGAAGCAGGGGGCUAUAGUACUAGUGGUACUACUCUUAGGUGAUACCAGCCCUUCUUAUAUGCUAUCAUGAUAUCAACUUAAAAAAAAUUCAAAUUUAAACUUGUCAAAAAAUUCUGAAAAAAAUUCAUGGAUGUACAAAGAAAAAAGACAAAUCCAUCAUGAUAGCGUCAAAAAAAGACAAGCAAAAAUGACACUAUUCACAUCUGAAUUUGUCUUUUUUUUGUUUUUCUAUGUGUAUGUCGAAUUUGAGCUGAAUUUUUUAGGGGUUGUCAGACAUAUAUGUCAUGAACAUCCAUGAUUUUUUUCAGAUUUUUUUGACAAGUUUAAAUUUAAAUUUUUUAAGUUGAUAUCAUGGUAGCAUAUAAGCUUUGGAAUCACCUGAUAAUUUCCGGCAAACUGAAAGCCAGCGCCCCACUAUACUCUAACUAGCACGUCAUCUUGAUGGGAAUCGCGAGGGACCGCGCAUGUAGAUGCUGCUGCAUCUAGCGAUGCAGUUCUCAGGAGGUAGGUUCAAGACAAGGAGAGGGAAGACAAUGCAGACGAAUAGGCGACGACGACGCUGCUUGCAUGCGGGCUCAAGUUCGUCCAGUUGUUGAUCACGACAAAAAUAGUGCAGACUCAGCGAAACUAGGGCCCAGGACAUGCAAUGAAGAGGCUGUUUAGUUUGUGACUAACUUUGCUAAAGAUUGUCACAUCUAAAGUUAGGUAAAUUUGACCAACUUAGGUGAGUGUUUGGUUCAAGCCACACCUUAGGCAAGCCACACUUGUGCCCCACAUGGCAUACAUAUAAAAAGUGUGGCAAAGAUUUUUUUAGGCUUGUCAACUUGUGGCUCUUAUUUUAAUGAACUAGCUUUAGACAAGUUUGACAAAAAUAUGUGACAAAGUAUGGCAAUACUAGUCCUACAACCAAACAGUCCCGAAGAAUAUGGGUCCUGGGUGUUCACAUUGGCAAAUCAUUCCAGUUAAAAAGGUGGGAGCAGCUGGAUGUCGGUCGACUGACAAAAAACUGUUUCAGUCGAUCAUACUACAGAGUACGCCAGCUGCCUAGCAGGCCCAUAAGCAAGGAAUCUAUAUUCUUUAGCGUCAAGUGCUCAUGACCGCUAGCAAGAGUCUGCAAACAAUGCUUGCUUGGGCCAUGUGCCUGUGUCCUGUAGCGUCAAGUGCUCUGCAUGCCCACGCACAUAAAAAUAAUGUAGCAAGCAAGCAAAACAUCUAACUGGUUCUGCACAUGAUGGGACCAUAUGUUUCAAUGCAUUAGGGCAUGAUUAAUAGUACAGCCAGUUGCAGUUGCUGGCUGUUUGACGUUGAAAUGUCAUUUAUAGUCAAUUUUAUAGCCAGCAAAUACAAUAGCUACAUGUAAAUGAGUACUACUUUAUUGGUACAUGGCCCACCUCCCUCUUUCACAAAGUCUUUAAGAGCGCGUGGUGCAGCCGGCUGUUAAUUUGUAAUCCGCUUCUCUUCUCUUUCUUGUUCUCUCUCUGCCAAGUAAGCAAAAAUAUAUUAUUUAAAGCCUUACAGUUCGCUUACUCACCUUAUUGUACUUGCUCUUAAGGCAUUCAGACGGGCACUUAGAGCAUGAUUAAUAGUAUAGCCAACAACCAGGCUAUAUGAAGUUGCUAUGUCACUUAUAGCUAACCUAAUAGUCCGCUCAUACAACAGUUACAUGGACUAGUAUACUACUCCUUCCGUUCCAUAAUGUAGUGCCUAUAGAUUUUUGCAAAAGUCAAACAUUACAAAUUUUGACCAUAUUUAUAGAGAAAAGUAGGUACAUCUAGAAUACCAAAUGCACAUCAUUGGAUACAUCAAGAGUUAUAUUUUCAGAAUGUAUAUGUUUGGUAUUGUAGAUGUAGACUGUUUUCUCUAUACAUUUGGUCAAAGUUGGUAAAGUUUGACUUCCACAAAAAUCUAUAGGCACUACAUUGUGGAAUGGAGGGAGUAUACAAUUAAUACAUGGCCCACUCUUUCCUCUCACAAAGGGUGUUGGAGCUCGUGCUAGAGCCGGCUGUAAACUUGUAGCCCGCUUCUCUUCUCUCUCCUCUCCUCUCUCCUCCACCUAGACAUAAAUCUGACGUGGCAUCUCUUAUAGCCCGCCUACGUCAUCCUAUUGUACUUGCUCUUAGGGCAUCUCAAAGGUGGACUCGUAAACCUCCCGCAGCUGUCCGGACCACGGAAGCCAUCCAACACGGUUGUAUCGGUCCGUGGAACGGUCCGGACGCGAUUUAUCCCGCAAACCAGAGACAAACGUGGGGGAGGUUUGCAAGAGUCCGGACACACGAAAGUCGCUCUCCGCCCUCUGGCCCAUCCAAAAGGAAGGCCGAGCCCGCGCUUUUGUAGUAUCCCGCAUUAUUUCCGCGCCAAAAUCCCCCACUCUCUUCUUCCGCUCUCAGUCGCUCUCCGUCCAAUUCCCGCUCUUUUUUCCCAUGCUCUCCUUCCCUCCGCUACCGACGCAUGGAACCAUCGGAGAACUUGUCGGAGAUGGAGCCGGCGGAGGUGCCGGGGGAUCCGAGCAUCACGCUCACUCGAAAGAUCAGCUCGGAUAGAUGCGGCAAAGUUGUCGCGUCAAAGCGAAGGCCGCAAAGGAGAAGCUGAAGAAGCAUGGCCGCCGGUGGGCCUGGUGGUUGCGAUGGGCGUGGCGGACGGCGCCAGACGGGCGUGUCCACAAUACAGAUGGCGCUGUGGCAGGAGCCUUACAAGCCUCCGUACUACGCCGCCGCCAAGCAGCUCGCAAAGCCCGUCGGUACGGUUCCUUACAUCGUUGAUGUUAACUCGGCGCCACUCUUCUCCGAGUAUUCUUUGCCGUUGCUCGUCCGGGCGAGGACGGCAGCCGGAGAGCACAUGGGUGCCCGCGCGCCGUUUGCUGCAAUGCCGAGAGCGGGGGAGCCGACGUACAACAAGGACGGCUAGGAUGGCCGGUCCGACAGGGCAGAAAUGCACGAAAUGCCGGACCGAUGUUCUUUUGGAUUCGGGCAUGUAAAAACUAAACAUAUUUGCCCUCUUUUGGUUGUGACCGAGGAUGCGAUCUGGCGCGGAUGUGGUCGGGCGCGUUGUGUGGAUCAACGUAGAUUUGAAUUUGAAUUUGCUGGUGGACAUAUACAUGCUACGAUUGAAUGGUGUCCUCCCGCAUCCGUGUCCGCGUAAUGGCCCCCCGUCCGCGGACGAACGCAGGAGAAAAUUUGAAAAUUUGUGAGUUGCCGUUGAAGAUGCCCUUACAUACAUUAUCUAUAAAAGUGUGCUACUGCUAUAUAUAACUUACUAACCAUGUACAACAACAAAUGCCCAAAACUCCCAAAAGAAGAAAAUAUUAAACCAGUUCCUAUGAAAGUUACGUUGUUCUACACAUGCACUGCAAACUCACGAGAAGGUGUGCACUAUUAACCCAAUAACCAAAGGAAGAAAAAGGCCAAUCACAUGUAAUUCUAAUACUUGUGGUGGUGUCGCCUUAAAGAAUAAAUGAAAAAAAAAGGUUUUUAAGAAAGAAUGAAUUAGUGGCAUUUCUAUUACCGAAGAAAUAACAUAUAAACAAAUUGAAAAAUAAUGAAAUUUUCUUGCAUACAAUUUACACCGGAAUUAUGGUUUUUUAUAGUCCGCAAAAAUUCACAUAUAAUAAUUUAAAGAAAAUUAAAUAAAAAAUAAAAAAUAUAUUUUUUCUAAGAAAGAAUGGAUUAGUGACAUUAGAACCCUUUAAUAAGAAAGAAGAUGACAAAACUUUAAAAAACAUGCACUGAAAUUGCACCUUUUGUAAUAUGCAAAGAAAAAGCAUAUACUAGUUCAAUUUUCGCACUCUAGUAUAAUUUAUGCACCUAUUUCGUAGUACAUGUGUGUAUACAUUUCAUAAUGAUGAAUGAAUUAGUGACAUUAGUAUUACCAUUCAAGAAAAAGGAAAAGAUAACAAAUAUAAAACAAAUAAGAACAAAAUUUUCACACAAUUUUUUGAGGGAAAUUGCACUUUUCUAAUAUGCAAGAAUAAGCAUAUAAUAGUGUAAUUUUCGAAAAGAAGAAGUUUUUUUAUUAAGGAAUGAAUUAGUGGCAUUGGUAUUUCCCUUAAAGAAGAAAUAAAAAAUAAAAUAAAAAUACUGAAGUUUCCUAAAGAAGAAUGAAUUAGUGACAUUGGUAUUGCCCUUUAAGAAGACAGAAAAAUGACAAAAUUACACAUAAAUUGCUUUUUAUAAUAUGUAAGAAUAAGUGUAUAAUAGUGAAAUUUUCGUGAAAACGAAGUUUCCUAAGAAGGAAUGGAUUAAUGGCGUUGGUAUUACCCUUAAUGAAUAAAGAAAAUGGCACAAAAACAAAAUAAUGAAGUUAUAUAAGGAAGAAUGAAUUAGUGGCAUUGGCAUUACCCUUCCAGAAGAAAAAUAGAAACAUAAAACAAAUAAAGAAAAAAUGCACAUAAUUUACACAAAAAUUGCGCUUUUUCAUAAUAUGCAGGAAUUGGUUUAUAAUAAUGAUUUUUUCGGAAAAGGAAGUUUCCUAACAAGGAAUUAAUUAUUGACGUUGAUAUUAAAUAAGAAAUAAAAUGAAAUAAAAAAACAAAUAAGAACUAUGAUGUCCUUUGUCUUGCAUCUUGUGGCAAAAUCAAACCACUUCAAAAUAAGCUGAUUGACCCCUUGUCGCUCCCCAAGGCAACAUAAGGCCGGGCGAAUCCUAGUACACCCUAGAAGGUUGCGAUUCCCUUGCAGCCACUGCGCGACCCGGGAAAAUGGUUGGCGGAUUUUCAAGAUGGCUGCAGGGGCAGCCAAUCGGUCAUCACCUUACAUCGAAGCAGCCUCUCCUCUCCCAGUGACGAGGAUUGAAGGAGGUGCGACAAUGACCGAAAGUGGGGUGGCCAGCAACUGGUUCCGGCAAUUUAUCAAGCGCCAUGGGCGGGCCUAGCGAGAGGUCGUCAGGGUUAAAAAAUUGUAUAGAGGUUGUUAGCAGUGAUAGAUUUGACGACCAGUGUGUGUACUCCAUGUGAAAAUUUAUGAUCUCGCCUCUCCGGUUGGACCAUGCAAUGCUGACCAUGCAAUUAGGAGAAUGACAUAUUAAAAGAAUGGUAGGAAAUUUACCAUACCCGACAUCUUUCAUCUCAACAUCGCCAAUAACAACAUUAGCAGUCUUGUCGUUGUUCUCAUUCUGAUGCAUGUCCCAGCGGUCCUUGCAUGAUGAAGCCCAAUGUUCUUCACUACCACAUACAUGGCACUUUCCUUUCUUCUUAAAAGUCUCCUUCUUGAAGUUGGCAUGUUGUGGGGCUUUUGUACUUGCCAUCAAAUCUUCCUUUGCCUGCAAAGUUGUUCUUGUUCUUGGGUUUGUGGGGUUGAAUUUUUUUCUUUUGUACCAAGUUGGCACUAGAAUUCCCCUCAUGGAAAGGAGCGCGUUUGUCUUUUGCCUCGUCUUCUCUUCCACAUCAACAGUGCCAAUAAGAUCGACAACAGUAAACUCUUGCCUAGCAAAAUUUCUCCACGAAGGAGGAAGCUUGGCAAUGAUGCCUCCAGGUAACACACAAUUGAGGUGCUCAAGUUCCUCUGUGAGCGACUGGAUCUCAUGAGCCUGCUCUACAACGGAGCGGUCAUCAAUCAUCUUGUAGUCAUUAUAUUGCUCCAUGACGUACAAUUCACUUCUUGUGUCCGAGACUCCAAACUUGGUCUCAAGCGCAUUCCACAUAUCCUUACCGACCAUGAUGGUCAUGAAGGGGCGACAAUCUUGUCGCCAAGAACACUCAGAACAACACCUCGAAAAAGGGUGUCUGUAGCCUGGAAAGCUUGCUCUUGUUCAACAUUAAGCUCUCCCUCUGGCUUGCCCUUAGAGGGGUGAAAACAAUUCAUGGUGGUAAGCCAAGGAACUGCCCUCGCACGCAAUCUCUUAUAAUUCACACCCUCAAACACAUAACUCAAACACAGAAGGCUUAAGAGUAGUAGCAAAUGCAAUUGGAGAAAAUUGCCUACACACAUCAGGUUUUUGGAUUGUUGAAUAAUUAGGCAUUUUUCGGUAGAAUUUAAUCCAGAAAAACUAUAGGAAAAACAUGAUAGUGAAGAUAAUCAAGACAAACAACAAAUUGUUGAAACUAGUCAUACAAUCGAAAUCAUAAGGAAAAGACAUCAUAUUUAUAUUGAUUGCUACUAGUAGUACUCCAAACACUAACCCUAACAAAAAGGAUAGAAUGACAUACAAAGCAGCAGAAGCAGAAGCAGAUGCGCCGUUCGUCAUGUCGUCGAAGAGGUCGUCGACGCUGGGGAAGAAGUCGUCGUUGGGCAACUCGUUGUCGAUCACAACCACGAUGAACAAGGAUCCAACAGUCGCGCGGAAGCGCUCCCCAAAAGCCCGAUCGCUCCUCUCCCGUACCGGAUCACAAGAGACGGAGUUUCGGAGGCCUGCUGUCUCAUUCCCCGGUACACGCCGGGAAGCGAGAUGAGAAAUAGAUAAGCAGCGCAAUGUUCUGGAACGAAGCGAUGUGUUGUGUGUCUUGUUGGGAAGAGGAACGACCUCUUAUAGGCGUGACAAUGUGAAACUGAAAAUGGACGCACUAAUUCCCAUUAAGAAGAGGAGAAACGGGCGCACUAAAAAUCCUAUUAAGUGGUCAGUUUCGUCUUUCAUUAGUAGGCCAAUCGUUUCAAUGUACUAAUGGAGAAAUGAAACCGAAACAAAACUAUUUGGUUUCAUUUUCCACCAGCGCAGAACUUUCAGCUUUUUUCUUGUCAUGCAUGAACGUGCCACAUGGGCCUAUGGGUUUCCCUACAAAUUAUUGGAUAUAACAGAUGGUCUAAAUCCCAAUAAUUCUAACAAUUAUACUGUCACGUCUUUUUACUGAAACUAUUUUGGUUUUCAGUCGUUUCUUGGUCUCGUGACAUAAAUUCACAUACAUUCUUUUUUUCUGUUGUUUCUUUUCUCGUACAUACAUAUAUACAUAUACAUGUCAUGUUACUGGAUGAAAAAAUUGACUGAAGUCCAAUUUGUUUCCAGUCAACUGUAAUAUAGACACUCCCUAAAUAAAAGUAGCAUUCUAAUAAAAUAGCUAGCAUGUAGGCGCACAGGUUGAUGACUAGUUACUAAGUAAUGAUAUUUGUGAGUUCAGAUAGCCUUCAACAUUUACCAUUUAAUUGGUGUACUUGUGUCUUUUUUUAUUAAUAGUUUUAUUUUUUGUUUUCUGAAUUUAUUCACUAAGUGAUUUAGGGGAUGUUUGGAUUGUGACUAUCUUUGCCAUAUAUUGCCGCAUUAUUUUUGCCACGCUUGUCACACUUGCCUUACUUGAGUUGCUCAGAUUGUUAGCCACACUUUGGCUUGCCUAAGAGAAUGUGCCACACUUUUUAUGUCUAUGACAUGUGGGGUUUACUGCUCACAAAAAAAAUCUUGCCUUAGGUGUGGCUAGAACCAAACACCCACCUAACUUGGUCAAACUUACCUAAGGUAAGGUGUGGCAAAGUGUGGCAAGGUGUGGCUAGGAACCAAACAGCCCCAAGUAUUGCCGUACGAUAUCAAAUGCACUAUAAGAUGCAAGAAAUUAAUUAGUUAUCAUAUUGUUCUAGAUUUUAUGAUCCUUGAGCUAUUACACGCUCCAAACGAGAACCAUAAAAUUUCCUGAAGCAAAUAAAAUAGAGAUAAAAUGAACUAUAUGAUGCAGGAAAGAAAUUAUUUAUUAGAUUAUUUUAUAUUAUAGUAUAUGAUUUUUGAGCUAUUACACGUCCAAACGAGAACCAUAAAAUUUGCUGAAGCAAAUAAAAGUAGCAUAUACAAUACAAAUAGUUAGAAUUACUACAUCGAAGUGACAUCAAAGCAUUAUGUUGUUAUAGCCGCAAGCAGUCUCGGCAUCGGAGGAAUAUCAAGCUCCAUUAGACCCUCAAGAACUCUGACCACUUCACCCAUUGUUGGCCGCUCCAGCUCAUUAUCCUGGAUACACCAACAUGCUACAUUGCAUACUCUUUCAACCUCAUCCAAGUUAAAGUCACCAUGUAAUUCUGGAUCUAGCAGGCUCUGCACAUCUCCCUCAUGAAGCUUGUUCAUGGCUCGCACAGGGAAAAAAGCGACAUGGUCGUUGCUGCUAGUGUGCACAACAGACGCAUUCCUUCUUCCCGAUAUGAUUUCCAUCAGUACCAUGCCAAAGCUGUAAACAUCGACUUUUGAUGUAAUAGCAACCCCGCUAAGCCACUCUGGGGCAAGAUACCCUGUAGUUCCCCUGAAUGUAGUUAGAACCCGGCUAAAAUCUCUUCCUAUGACCGAUGCCAACCCAAAGUCUGCAAUUUUGGGGACAAACGAUUCAUCGAGAAGUACAUUUUCUGGCUUGAUAUCGCAGUGUAUGAUGCAUUCGCGGCAACUCUGAUGCAGGUAGGACAAUCCUCUAGCAACUCCGAUGGCUAUCUGAUAUCUGGUGCUCCAGUUGAGGACUGUGCCAUUGCUUUGGAACAGAUGGGAAUCAAGAGAACCAUUGCACAUGUGUUCAUAUACAAGUAGCCUCUUAUCACCAUGACAACAGAAACCAACCAAUUUGACCAGGUUGAUGUGCUGGAUCAGUCCAAGUGCACUUAUCUCUGCCCUGAAUUGCUUCUCUCCCUGACGGGCACCUUCAAGCCUUUUCACUGCUACACUAGUCAGGUCACUUAAAACUCCCUUAAAUACAGUCCCAAAACCUCCUGCUCCUAGCUUCACUGAGAAAUUCUUUGUAGCACGGCCCAAAUCGGCGUAUCUAAAGGCAACAACUCCAACACUACCUUGAUUGGUGGCCUGUGAUGGAACACCACACCAGUUGAAUCUGUUCCGUAAGAUCACUAGUAGCAGCAUGAGCAUCAGCAACCCAAAACUGAUAACGCUUGCAGCAAUAACAACUCCAGCCGCUGGUUUUCUUUUAUCUCUUGUUGAACUCAGAACAUCUCCGGCGGCAAGGCGAAUAUACAGAGUAUAUUCAGACCUGAUCUCGAUGCCAUCAUCCUUGCUUACACUGAACAACUCCCCAUGCCAAACAGAGCAUUUGCUGUCAUGGUAGGAGUAAGCAAUGCAGGAGCAGUUGCUGAGACAGGCCACUUCACAUUCGCUCCGAGUUGCAGGAGCAUGCUGUAAACUCCGGGGACCAUAUGGCACUGUCACACGAGCUAUUGGGUGGAACACGUCUGUGGAACUGCUGUUGCCAUUGCAAUCCAGCCGAGUGUUUCUGGAGCACCCACCUGUCCGAUCACCGAGCUCCCAAUCCUGAGGCGACGUCCUGGAGAAGCUCUCCAUGCACUCGCAUGGCGGGUGCGAGUUGCCGGUGCAGACGGUGAACGGCCCGCAGGCGGCGUAUGGGGUGCAGGGAUCGGCGGGCUCGACAUAGAUGCUAUGCCGGCCUGGUUGUCCUGCGACCACACGUUCAGCCUGGUCUGACCAAACACGUCGAUGAAGAGGAACGAAGAGAUCUCAUCUGGGGAGGUGUACAUGUAGUACUCCUCCUGCUUGUUGUUGACGUAUUCCGGGACGACCAUGCUGGUCUGUGGGCUCAUGUGCAGCAACUUCCUGAGUGCUGGGAUCUGCAUGGACGAGUGGUCGUCAGGCGACCACCACCAGUACACUUCGGAAGGGUAGCCUCGACGCCUGGCCGUCACCAUCCUGGUGCCAUUGGUUAGCAGCCCCACACUGAAGGAGCCGAGGCCCGGGUCGAUCCGGCUCUUCCACGAGAUGCCGACACGGUUCAGGCCGGUGAGCUUGUUCCAGCCGAUCUUGGCGAAUGGGAGGAGGAUGUCGGUUGGGUUGUCGAAGCUCUCCCACAGCACCUCACUUGACAGGCUUUCUAUGACGAGGUUUCCACUGCCCAAGAGGAUGGCCCUGGUGGUGUUGGUGUUGGUUCUAGUAUUGGAAAUAUUGGUGUUGGUUCUAGUAUUGGUGAUGUUAGUGUUGGUGUUGGUUCUAGUAUUGGUGAUGUUGGUGGACCAGAUGGUGGAUUGGGUGUUGUUGUCUAGGACGACAAGGUUGCCAUCUUCUGAGAUUUGAAGCUGUGUUGCUCUCAGAUCGGGUCCGGCGAUUGGCCUCUCCCGGUUGCCGACCCAGACGGGAGUGAUGACAUGGAUCUUGUUGAACCAUAUGGCAAGGUACCAACCGGGAGAGGUAGAUGAAUUACUAGUGAUGUUGCCGGCGCCGGGCUGGAAGAAGCCAAGCGCGAACUUGCCGUUGCUAGAAACGAGCUUGUCGCCGACAGCAAACGGCUGGCCUGGCGUGAGAGUAUCGUCUUCUGUGGCUAUGCUAGGAGGAAUAGUGUGCAUGGAUAGGAGGAGGAGGAGGCCGAGGAACAUGUGGAGGUUAGCCAUGGCUGCUCUGCACGUAUGUCUGCUUGCCCUGCCUCGGCACUGCUAUUUAACGAAGGAGGCUUAGGAGAGUAGAGGGGGAGAUAGGUUGAAGACAACGAGAGGGAAGACAAUGCAGGCAAAUAGGCGACGACGACGCUGCUUGCAUGCGGGCUCAAGUUCGUCCAGUUGCUGAUCAGGACAAAUAGUGCAGACCUUUUUUUUGACAAAUAGUGCCGACUUGGCGAGACCUAGGACCCAGGACAUGCAAUAAAGCAUGGGUCCUGGGUGCUCACACCGGCCAACCAUUCUAGUAAAACCUUUUUCCUGGGAUAAAUAAUCUAGAAGCAACGUUAACACAUAUUUUCUUCGUUACAGAGCUCAUAUAUGAUCGUAUUUUGUACACGCAAAAUUUUGUGUAAACUUUUUCAGCAUUCCGUACAUUUAUGCAUUUUAAAUAAUUUUCUUAAAUGCAAACCAAAGAAUCAAAACCCAAGUAGAAUGUGGCUACCACUGGGGGAAGAACCUGAACCACUUGUUGUAGAGACUUUUUACGGUAUAUCAUACUACUGGAAAUAGUGGGUAGUAUAUAAUUGAUCCAAUGGUCAAAAUUGAUCCCUGAUUAAUAUUUUUAGUAUUCUAAACAUUAACAGUUUAGGGUGUCAUUGCGUCUCCUCCCGAACCACUGACCGCAGGCGAAUGUCUUAUUUCUUCACGAAGAUUAAUUAUGGAGAUACUAUCAACCUAUCAUCUCAGUAUCAUUAUACACGCCUUAUUUGUUAUGCCCAUACUUGUUUCUUUUUUUUCGAAAAAUAAACUAGAUAGAGCAGAGCAUGUUUAUUUCAUGCAUUUAGCUAUUAGUCUAUCUAACUGAGAAUAUCAUUUCAUGCUUGAGACUGGUACGGUUGUUACUUGUUAAGUACUCCCUCCAUUCCAAAUUACUCGUCGCAGAAAUGGAUGUAUAUAUUUAGAACUAAAAUACAUCUAGAUACAUCCAUACCCACGACAAAUAAUUCGGAACGGAGGGAGUAUAUCUUGAUGGUUAAGGCAGCUAGAUAUAUAAGUGUAACUGUAACAAUUGAUCUCGCAUAGAUCUCUUCUGUUGUGUUAAGGCCUGUUUGUGAGAAACAGUUCUGUUUGUUAGAAACAGUGUCUUUAAACUGUGAUAGCAGUUUUUUUAAGAAAAGGAGAAUAACCCCCGGCUUCUGCAUCUAGGAGAUGCAUACGGCCACUUUAUUAAUUAUUUUUGAGGAUCUUACAAAGUAUUACAAACAAUAUACCUGAAUCCACCAUCUUGGCAACAUAUGCCGUUACUCUUAUUCAUAUGAUGAAGGGAUGCUAGCUGGGCCACUACCCAAACCACUCACCUAAACCUAACAUCAAAAGCCGGAAGCCCCAGCCGAGCCACAUACCGGGUCUGGGGCACAAUCCGGUCAGACACACUCUUGUGUCGUCGCCGCCAUCUUCCACAAGUCCGUCUUCAGAUUAUAUUGAGUCUUCUACUUUGUGAAGGCCACUUCUGCCAUCGACGUCACCAUGACGCCAGACAGCUACCUCCUCCUGCGCGAGUCCAUCUCCGCGCAUCGGCCACCGAGCCUCGACAGCGCCAUGCCGCCGAUCUUCGCCGCCAUCAAUGAGUGAGAUGAAGAACCGCUCCACCACGGCAAGUACAAGGUGAGGAAGGGCGAGGUCGCCAUCAGAAACACGGCUGGAAGAUAAGCAUCGCAGUCACGAGACAUGCCCGGAGCAGCAACACGGUAGAUCAGACAGGCCGCCACCAGGAACCAGAUAAGCUCGCCAUGCACAUCCAGCAUCCCCAUGCCCAAGUCGGCGCCUUCAAGAAGGUGACGACGCUGUGGCGCCGCCGCCGCUUAGCCACCGGGGCUAGGGCUUUCACCCGGGCGCAGGGGAAGGGGAGAGGCAGGGGAGGUUUAGCCUCGGCGCCGCCACCAAGGAGGGAAUGGCGUCCGGGACGCCAUCGACGCCAUGACCGCCACCGGUGGCCAAGGGUUUCCCCCGGCCAAGCACCCUGCCGCCACCUCCGAACCAGACACAACAUCAGUAGGCGCGUGCACGCCGGAGAUCCAGGCUGGCCGGAAGUCAUGCAACACGAGCGGACCAGAUCGCCUCCGAUCUGACGAGGGGAGCCCGGGGCCUCCCCGCGCCAUGACCAGCGCCCACCAGGACCUCGCUGCCCGCGCAGCCGAGGAGAUCCGGUCUACCUCACCGACGAGCACUCCCCGCCGUCGGAGGAGCGCCGUCCGCCCCAGCGAGGCCGCCGCCUCAGAUCAGCCGGCGCGGAUCUGACCAGAACAAGCACAGCCGCGAAGAACACUGCGCCGUCACCGACCCGCGCGCUCCACCGUGACGUGCCGCCACCGGACAGCAGGCCGCGCCGCCCCGCACUGACCACCAGCGCGCGCCACCCGACGCGCCGGCCGCCGAGCUCCACCUCCGCGCCCGAAGAAGCAGCCCCCCGCGGCUCCUGUUCCAGGCAAGGUCAAACGAGAUCCCGCCGCCGCCGGCACCCGCCAGCGGCGGCGGGAGGAGAGGAAGGAGGUGGGGGUUGGGUUCGGCGGCNNNNNNNNNNNNNNNNNNNNNNNNNNNNNNNNNNNNNNNNNNNNNNNNNNNNNNNNNNNNNNNNNNNNNNNNNNNNNNNNNNNNNNNNNNNNNNNNNNNNNNNNNNNNNNNNNNNNNNNNNNNNNNNNNNNNNNNNNNNNNNNNNNNNNNNNNNNNNNNNNNNNNNNNNNNNNNNNNNNNNNNNNNNNNNNNNNNNNNNNNNNNNNNNNNNNNNNNNNNNNNNNNNNNNNNNNNNNNNNNNNNNNNNNNNNNNNNNNNNNGGUCUCUUUCUGUGAUAGCAGUACCUUGGUUAUAUUGAAUGCGGGCCAAUUCCUUACCAUGUUGCUGAAUGCUGAUUGAUUCGAGACUGAACUGUGGCUGGGUCCUAAGCCACUUGACCAAUUGUUUGUACGGGUGCAUGCACUCAGUGCUGUAGCAUGCAAUAGAAGAGCAUCUACUUAGAUACAAUCCCGUACGUCUGCACUCUAGCUUGACCAGUCCCAGGACUUGCAAUGAAGCGUCGUUCUUGGUGACCCAUACAACUGAACCGAGCAAAAACCACCCUUCUUCGAAACAGACAGCUGAACCACCUGUUCAGGGACCUCCCAUCUCAAGCCAUUCAAGUCUACCCAUCCCAUGGUCACCAAGCAAAAACACCACAUUGCAUAGCUACGUCUACAGGCCUGCUUAUACAGGCAACCGAACUUAAUUACUUGCGAAGUCCCUUACCUCCCCGAGCUAGUGGCGACUGGCGACCGUGUGCACCAAGAGGUGGCUGCAGUGGCCGCCAAGCUCCGGCAGCACGAGAUCCCCGUCCGGCGGCGACGUCGGCUCCCAUCCCAUGCAGCGACGUUGCAGGCUCCGCGUGCCAGUGUCCACCUACCGUCUCUCCGGCAGACGGCACCAAGAAGGCAAGAACCGCCACCGCACACACGCAGCCUGUGUAUGUGAAAGAUUGUUUCUCUUUGCCCUCUGGUCCGUCAUAGUCCUGGGCAUCAGAGUUCAAAUUAAUAAUACUUAAAAUCAAGGUAGCACAUGAGGCUGCAGAGGCGAGCAGGUGAGAGCUGCUGUUUUUAGCAGUUACAAGUUGUUAUUGUUACCCAUCGUUUUUAAUGUGAUUUCGUUCAAAUUUAUAAGGAUUGACAAAUUCAUUAUCAUUUGGAGUCCAUUAGAUAUUGUAAUGGACUGAGGCUCAGCAAUAAAAUAUGCCAUCAACUGACGCAGUUACUCCAUGAAUGUACUUUUUAAUCUUUAGAUUGUCAUCUCUAUACUUGAGAAAAAGGGGAAGUGGCCUAUAGGUCAAAACCACAGAUCCAGUGCUAAGCAUUUAUUAUGUACCGCGGAAUAUAAAUUUCCUAAAUUCGGUUGCUGCAUAUUUGGUGUUCUUAUAUAAUGACAUCCAACUGACAAUGUUAUGCUUACAUUUACUUUAGGAUGUGAGAGUUUGGCACAAAAGUUUGUCCAAUUUAACCGGCAAUGAGCAUCUGCUUUAAUUUGAUUCUGCAUUAAUGAAGUUUGGAAACUGAUAUGCCUCUGAGAGACUGAUAUUUCUGGGUUGCUGCAUCGGUGUGGGCCGUGACGGCGUAGUGGCGGUCUACGGUGGUGGUGCAGGGCGGUUCGUUGCGGCGGCGGGACAGGCUCCGGCGUGUGGCCGUUGGCGAGCUGCUCGUGUGGAUGCCCCUUGGUCCUCUAGCGGCGACAUGAUGUGGUCUUUCCGGCGCCUCGCGUCGUUGGGCGAGUGUCCGGUUCCUACCAGAUGCAGAUCCAGGCCGGGAGCCGAGGUUGGGCGUUGCAGGGUGCGACGUUGGAGAGGUGACGGGUGUGAUGGGUGGUGCCGAUGCAGUCGGGCUGCCUGUUACCGGCAGGGGUGCAGACAUCGACUUGGUCCGCUCCUGCUUCACCUCUUCUCUGACCUGCUGGCUCCCUGAUUGAUCUGGUCGUUUUGGUCGCUGCGGCCUUGUUGCCGGUCGGUGCAUCUCUUGCAGCCAUGGAGGGUCUAUGGUGUGCCUUGUUACCUGGGCGGCGGCCCGGGUGGUAGGUGCUGCGGUGCUCGUGGGCUGAGCUUGUGGCUCAGGUGCGGGCGGUUAGCGACCAUGGCCGUGUGGGCGGCGUGGUGGCUGGCGUUUUGACGAUCUGUUGUGGUGAAGACGGAGUUUUGCUGCCGGGGUGAAAACCCUGUCUGGCUUGGCCAGGCCGAUGGAGGCGGCGCCAAUGGACGUCGUCAUCUUCCUGAAGUCUCCGUUGUGGUUACUCAUUUUCCUUCGUCAUGCUCCGGAUGAAAAUCUAGAUCUUUGGAUCAGCCGGUGGCGGCGUUUUGUUCUGUCCUUCUUGAAGGCACUGUCUUGGAGCUCUCAGUUCAUCCUCAUUCAACUUCACCUCUUCGCCGGUUCUCCAGGAAGAGCUCUGGUGGCUCUUUAGCGUCUACUUCAUGUCCUUCGGGGUGGUGUUGUUGUAGGCCUUUGGCACCUAUGUAUCCGGCCUAGGGUGAGUGUGUGUUGGUGUGUUGUGUUGUGGGUUGUAUUGACCGGUUGUUGGUUGUUGCUUUAUAUAUAAAGCCGGACGAAAGCCUUUUUCGGUAAUUUUUGUUAUCAAAAGAUGCUGAUGGAUGCAGAAAGAAAGGGAACCAAAGUGCUUUUUCUUUGAAGUUCAUCUUAGAAAUCAUGUUAUCUGUCAAAGUAUAAUACAUUCAAUGGCUUACUUGCUGUUUUUAUAGGUGCUUCUUGCUGAACGAGCCGAGUGAUGUGCUCUUUCCUAAGGCCAUAAUCUGUUCAGGUAGCUGCUCUUUCUAAAGGUGAAUGGCAUGCUUAUUUUUUUUAUAGCUCUUUCAUGCUUAAUGAAUUUUUCACAUGGUCUAUUCCCUAAGGUCAAAAUGUGUUCAGGUAGCUUCUCUUGGAAAAGGUAUAUUCAUGCUUCGUUGUGUCAUCUUUGCUGUUGAGUUUAGAUUGAAUAGCCAUGUUCACCCUACUUGAGUGCUUAACAUUUAAGACUAUGUCCUACUGUUUUUUCAAGACUAUUUAUUUCCUCAUUUGCUGUUCCUCUAGUUAAUAUUGGAGCUUUACCUCAAAUAAAAAAAUUAUCCAUACCAAAAUGAUGCUAAAUAAACUGAAGUUCCCCAAUAGAACGAUAACUAAAAGUAAUAAAUACAGUUGAAACCUUUAAACACCAUAAAUAGAAGCAACAUUCUAGUAAAAAGAAAUAGCUGAACAAACUACAUGCAUUUCAGACCGAUAGAUGUGCCAACUCUUACAUGUUUCUUAUCUUUCAAAUAUGUAUGCAUAGAUUUUUGUCGCAUUUCAAAUGUGAACAUAUUCCGACAGAUGAUUUUAAUUUUCACUAAAUUACCCAGUGUGCAGGUGUACGGGUUGAUGACUAGUUUAUAAAUAAUGAUAUUUUUUAGUUCAGAUAGCCUUUAGCAUCCAGCAUUUAAUUUGCAUACUUAUGUCUUUUUAAGCAAUAGUUGUAUUUUUUAAAUUAUUGUUUAUUUUUUAGGAAAUUAUUCAUCAAGCGACUUAGAAUUCCAGUAAGAGAUCAAAUGAAAGAUGCAAGAAAGAAAUUAUUUGUUAUAUUAUUUUAUAUCUUUUGAUCUUUGUGCUGUUACACGAUCCAAACCAGAACCAUAAAAUUUGCUGAAGCAAAUAAAAGUAUCAUAGACAUUAGAAGUAACUAGAAUUAUUACAUGGAAGCGACAUCGGAGCAUUCUGCUGUCAUAGCCGCAAGAAGCCUUGGCAUUGGGGGCAUAUCGAGCUCCUUUACACCCUCAAGAACUCGGACCACUUCACCCAUUGUUGGCCGGUCCAACUCAUUAUCCUGGAUACACCAACAUGCUACAUUGCAAACUCUUUCAACCUCAUCCAAGCUGAAGUCGCCAUAUAAUUGUGGAUCCACCAAGCUCUGCACAUGUCCCUCGUGAAGCUUGUUGAUGGCUUGCACAGGGAAAUAAGCAACAUGGUCGCUGCCGCUAGUGUGUACCACAGAUGCAUUCCUUCUUCCUGAUAUGAUUUCCAUCAGUACCAUGCCAAAACUGUAAACAUCGACUUUUGAUGUAAUAGCAACCCCGCUAAGCCAUUCUGGGGCAAGAUACCCCAUUGUUCCCCUGAAUGUAGUUAGAACCCGGCUAAAAUCCCUUCCUAUGACCGAUGCUAACCCAAAGUCCGCAAUUUUCGGGACAAAUGCUUCACUGAGGAGUACAUUUUCUGGCUUGAUAUCACAGUGUAUGAUGCAUUCGUGGCAACUCUGAUGCAAGUAGGACAAUCCUCUAGCGACUCCGAUGGCUAUCUGAUAUCUGGUGCUCCAGUCGAGGACUGUGCCAUUGCUCUCGAACAGAUGGGAGUCGAGAGAACCAUUGCACAUGUGUUCAUACACAAGUAGCCUCUUAUCACCCUGACAGCAGAAACCAACCAAUUUCACCAGGUUUAUGUGUUGGAUCAGUCCAAGUGCACUUACCUCUGCCCGGAAUUGCUUCUCUCCCUGAUGUGCACCCUCAAGCCUUUUCACUGCUACACUAGUCAGGUCACUUAAAGCUCCCUUGAAUACAGUACCAAAACCUCCGGCCCCCAGCUUCUCUGUGAAGUUUUUUGUAGCACGGCCCAAGUCGGCGUAUCUAAAGGCAACAACACCUACACUAUCUUCAUUGGUGGCAUUUGACGACACACCACACCAGCUGAAUCUGUUCCUUGAGAUCACUAGUAGCAGCAUGAGCAUUAGCAACCCAAAACCGAUAACGCUUGCAGCAAUAACAACUCCGGUUAGUACUGGUUUUCUUUUAUCUCCUGUGGAACUUGGGAAAUCUCUGGCGGCAAGGCGAAUGUACAGAGUGUAUUCAGAGCGGAUCUCGAUGGCAUCAUCCUUGUUUACACUGAACAAAUCCCCAUGCCAAACAGAGCAUUUGCUGUCUUGGUAGGAGUAAGCAGUGCAGGAGCAGUUGCUGAGACAGGCCGAUUCACAUUCGCCCCGAGUUGCAGUUGGAGGAAUAUCCUGUAAGCUCCGGGGGCCGUAGGGCAAUGUGACACGAGCUACGGGGUGGAACACGUCUGUCGAACUCUUAUUGCCAUUGCAAUCCAGCGGAGUGCGUCUGGAGCACCCUCCUGUCCGAUCACCCAUCUCCCAAUCCUGAGGCGACGUCCGGGAGAAGCUCUCCAUGCACUCGCAGGGCGGCUGCGAGCUGCCGGUGCAGACGGUGAACGGUCCGCAUGUGGCGUAUGAGCGGCAGAGAUCGAUGGGCUGGACGUAGAUGGUCUGCCAUGCCUGGUUGGCCUGCGACCAUACGUUCAGCUUGGUCUGACCAGACGUGUCGAGGGAGAGGAAUGUGGAGGAGGCCUCGUCAGGUGAGGUGUACAUGUAGUACUCCUCCUCGCUGUUGUCGACGUAUUCCGGGACGACCAACCCUCUGGUCUGUGGGUUCAUCUUCAGCAGCGCUCGGAGUGCUGGCAUCUGCAUCGGCGACUCGUCGGGCGACCAUGACCAGUAAACUUGGGAAGGGUAGCCUCGGUGCCCCACCAUCACCAUCCUGGUGCCAUUGGUUUCCAGCCCCACACUGAAGGAGCCGAGGCCCGGGUCGAUCCGGCUCUUCCACGAGAUGCCGACACGGUUCAGGCCGGUGACCUUGUUCCAGCCGAUCUUGGCGCCGGGGAGCGCCACGUCGGUUGGGUCGUCGAAGCUCUGCCACAGCACCUCACUUGACGGGCUUUCUAUGACGAGGUUUCCACUGCCCAAGAGGAUGGCCCUGCUGCUGGUGGUGGUGGUGGAGGUGGCGUUGGUUCUGUUUCCGGUGAUGUGGGUGGACCAGACGACGGAUUGGGUGGCGUUGUUUAAGACGACAAGGUUGCCUUCUUUUGAGAUUUGGAGCUGUGUCGCUCUGAGGUCGGGUCCGGCGAUCGGCCUCUCCCGGUUGGCGACCCAGACGGGGGUGAUGACAUUGAUCUUAUUGAACCAUAUGGCAAGGUACCAACCGGGAGAGGUAGAUGACUUACUACUGAUGUUGCCGGCGCCGGGCUGGAAGAAGCCAAGCGCGAAUUUGCCGUUGCUGGAAACGAGCUUGUCGCCGACGGCCAAUGCGUGGCCUGGCGCCAGAGUAUCAUCUUUUGUGGCUGUGGUAGGAGGAAUAGUCUGCACGGAGAUGAGGAGGAAGAGGAGGAGGAUGCUGAGGAACAUGUGGAGAGUAGCCAUGGCUGCUCUGCACGUAUGUCUGCUUGCUCGGCCUCGGCUCGGCUAUUCAAUGAAGGAGGCCUAGGAGGGGAACUUUUGGUCUAUGGGGACAUAUGCACUCUAUAUGGGAAAAAAAUUUAGUAAUUCAACAAAAAGUCAAAAAUUCCUGAAAAUAUUUUUGAAAUAAACUUGACCUUCUAUUGUAUUCGUGAGAAAAAAAAUCCACGAAAAAAAUAUCCCUUUGACUUCUUUUCAAAAAAGACAAAUUUUUGGCUAAAAUAGUGUGAAUAGUGACCUAUAAUAGCAAAUAAAUUUUGUCUUUUUUGCUGUGAGGUCAACUUUUGUUUUUUUUUUCGUCGGGAUUUUUAUACUAGUGCAAAAGUAAGUCAAGUAUUUUGUCAAAAUAGUUCUUACCUAUUUUGACUUUUUAUUAAAAAAUUAAAAAUAAAUCCCCAUAUAGGGUGCAUAUACCACCAAGAACACAAGUGUAUUUCCCAGGAGGCCUAGGACUAUAGGAGAGGCAACGUGAGGGAAGACAAGGCUGGCGAAUAGGGGACGACGCCACUGCAAACGGGUCAACUUAACCCAGCUGUUGCCACGAGAAAAAACUUUUUUCAGCAUUCUAUACAUGUAUGCAUUUNNNNNNNNNNNNNNNNNNNNNNNNNNNNNNNNNNNNNNNNNNNNNNNNNNNNNNNNNNNNNNNNNNNNNNNNNNNNNNNNNNNNNNNNNNNNNNNNNNNNNNNNNNNNNNNNNNNNNNNNNNNNNNNNNNNNNNNNNNNNNNNNNNNNNNNNNNNNNNNNNNNNNNNNNNNNNNNNNNNNNNNNNNNNNNNNNNNNNNNNNNNNNNNNNNNNNNNNNNNNNNNNNNNNNNNNNNNNNNNNNNNNNNNNNNNNNNNNNNNNNNNNNNNNNNNNNNNNNNNNNNNNNNNNNNNNNNNNNNNNNNNNNNNNNNNNNNNNNNNNNNNNNNNNNNNNNNNNNNNNNNNNNNNNNNNNNNNNNNNNNNNNNNNNNNNNNNNNNNNNNNNNNNNNNNNNNNNNNNNNNNNNNNNNNNNNNNNNGUUGCAUACAUGUUGUGUUGUCACAUUACCUCAUUCAACUUGUUGAACAGCUUUGCAGGGACCACAUCUCAUCGGAUUCAAAGAGAUAACCGCAUGUGGUAGACACCGGAGCAAGUUGAAGAACCAACACUAGCAAGUAGCAACAUGUGAAGAAGAAACACUAUAUGGCACUAUAAACAUUUGACUGUUCAAGGCAUCAUUACAUCCACUCCGAACCGCUGACCUUUGGGGAAUGUCUUGUUUCUCCAUGAAGUUCAGUUAUGGAGAUAAUACCAUUUCAUUCAUGUACUGACGACGACCUUAUUUGUUAUGUCCAUAGCUGUUUCCUUUUCUUUUUGAAAAACAAGGUAGACAGAGCAGAGCAAGAUUAUUUCAUGCAGUUAGCCAUUGGUCUGUCUGAAUGGUGAGCUAUUUCAGAAACAAUGAAC